CAAUAGCGUAUAUUAAAGUUGUUGCAGUUAAAAAGCUCGUAGUUGAAUUUUUGCUUGCCGCCGAUGUCGGAACUUCCGUACGUUCGGCGGCGUGCAUCCUUGGGUGGAACCUGUGUGGCAUUAGGUUGUCGUGCAGGGGAUGCUCAUCGUUUACUGUGAAAAAAUUAGAGUGUUCAAAGCAGGCUUACGCCGUUGAAUAUAUUAGCAUGGAAUAAUAAGAUAGGACCUUGGUACUAUUUUGUUGGUUUGCGCACCGAGGUAAUGAUUAACAGGGACAGUUGGGGGUAUUCGUAUUCCAUUGUCAGAGGUGAAAUUCUUGGAUUUCUGGAAGACGAACUACUGCGAAAGCAUUUACCAAGGAUGUCUUCAUUAA
RNAcentral lists this ribosomal RNA (373 nucleotides) under uncultured eukaryote. RNAcentral describes it as "partial 18S ribosomal RNA". It matches the Rfam family "Eukaryotic small subunit ribosomal RNA", at positions 592 to 976 of the family's 1831-position model. The record is from RNAcentral.